AAUUUUAUUAUGAAAUUCUAUUAGAUAUUAACAUUCGGAGAAGAAAUUAAAAAAGAAGGCAAUCAUAUAAUCGAGGAAGGAAAUAACCGAGAUGUAAUUGCGUGGUGCGAUUUAGGAAUGAGCAAUAUGAAACAUAAUCUUAAUUCCGGUCAUUAAGACCGAAAUUUAAAUAUUUAAUUGUAUUCUCUUUCCUUUAUUGUGCAUUUGUAAUUGUAUAUAUUCGACCCUCAACAUCAUUGUAAAGGGUCCCCGACUAACACACACACUUCAAUACAAUCUCAAACACUUCGAAUUAUCUACGAAUUCUUUUCAAUAUCAAUCUUUUCAUUCAUGUUCUAGCGCAAUUUUCUUCUUUUUAUUUGCUUUCUUUACAUUCCACACUUUAUCUUUUUGCAAUUUACUCUUAGUUUCUUUACGUUUCAUACAAUUUAUGUCACACCCUAAUUUUCGAAGGAUAAUUUUUAAAAAUUUGGGCAUGAUAUAUCUUAACAUCUUAAAAUCUCAAAACCUGCUCAACAACUUCCAAACUAAACUUAAAUGCUAGAAGUGUUAAUGUCAACAAAACUCAACAACUGAGUUAAACAUUACAUCUCCUUAAUUACAUUAACUUCAAAAGUCUAGUAAAAUAAGGACGCUCACAUGAGCUUAAAAACAAAGUGUAAUAAUAUACAAAUAAAAUAAAGUGCAUAGAAACUAAAAUCCUGCCACUAUGCCUCCGCCUCAACCCUGCUGAUCAACACCUGCAGGUCUAACCCCUACACCGGGUUGUAAACAACAAACCCGGUAAGCUAAAAAGCCCGUAUGAGUAACUCCCAAAAAUAACUCAUCACAUAAGAUAAAACCGGUAAUUCCUGCUUUAGAACUUAGUUUAGAAAUCGCCUCCAAACAAUAAAAUUCAAAAGAGAGUAAAUAAGAAAACACAAUAAUUUCCAAAACAAUUAAAAUCAUAAGUGAAUCCUGCAAAAAGGAUAGUUCAAGAAUUCCACUAAAAUCACACAAAUAAGAUUGAAAAUCUCCUGCAUUAAGCAUAGUUCAUGAGAUAUUCAAAACAAGAAAUUUAAUUGACAACAAUUAAGAAGAAUGUUAAAACCACAUUUUCAACACUUUUACAAAUAACAUGUACUCAUGAGUCCCAGAUAUUAAUAAAUACAUCUCAUGACCUACAACAACAAUUUAUGUACCCAUAGGUCCCAGAUACCAUAAGGUAUCUCCCAUGACCUACACCGACAGACGGACUAGAGCUCUAUUCCUAACUGUAACCAAUCACCCGGCCAAAGGCUUGGAACUCAGUUUGACUGUCCAAUAACAAAUCACAAAAUAAAAAUAGCAUCAUAACCGUAACCAAUCACCUGAUUAAAGGCUUAGAAUUCUGUUUGACUAUUUAAUAUCAAAACACAAAAAUGAUAAAUAGCAUCUUAACCGCAACUAAUCACCCGAUUAAAAGCUUGGAAUCCGGUUUGGCUAUUUAUCCAACAAUCACAAUAUCACAACAUUAUCAUCAACAACACAAGAUCACAUUAUAAAUUAUAUCCUUCCACAUAGAUAUAUUUACAUUAACAAAUAUAGAUAUUCCACAAGAAUAAUCUAUCAAUAACCAAAAACAUUAUGAUCAUAUGAACCUUAAAAAUAAUCAUAAAAUAAGAAAACUUGUUUUAACUUAUCUAUGAGCCGUUGGCGAUCAAGCUCAUAUAUUUUAAAACAAACAAAAAAAACAUAAUUUUUAAAUUAUAAUGAUUAUAAUCAUCAUCAUCAUCUCAUCAUAAUCAUAAUCAUCAUCAUAAUCAUCAUCUUAUCAUCAUAAUCAUAAUCAUCAUCAUAAUCAUCAUCACCAUCAUCAUCAUAAUCAUCAUCACAAUUCCAUAAAUAAUUGGUUCCAAGUGAACCUUGGUGAGAUGUUACUCACCUAAAUACUCCCGCUGCGUCUUCAAUAACAACACAAGAGUCAAGCCAAGUCAAUCACACUUCACAAAUUACCUAAAAUUACACAAACAAUAACCUUAGUAACCAAGGAUAUCACAACACCCUUAAACUAACCCUUAGCUCAAGGCUCAAGGGAGGACAAUUUCCCAAGGUCAUCACACUUAACAACCCCAAUAAGACUGCCUCUAAUCCUCAAACCCAAACUCAAAUCUCAACCAAGCCUAAAAUCAAACUUAAAGUCCUAACAUACAAACCUUGCUCACAACCUAAAAAUUCUACUUCUCAACAAGCUCACAACAAUAAGAGCUAGCUAACCACAUAAAAAUAAAGCUAGGAACACUGUCGGACGCGCUGCCACACGCCACCACAGGCGGCGGCGAGUGUGUCCCAUGCGCCACCCCAUCAACUUUAAAAUCUAAGCAAGCUCCCAACAGCAAACUUGUAGGUCACAUCAAAUGGAACACUUUUCAUACCUGUGGCCAAAGCCAAUUCGGCCGGAAAGAGGCCAGAAACGUCGCCGGAAAGAAACAAUGAGCAUUUCGAACUCCAAAGCUCCACGCUUAAAAUUAGGCUUCAAGGCUGGUAUCAUCAUGCUCAGAAGGACAAGAACUUCCAGAAAUUGGUAGCCUCAAACCUCGAUGUCAUCGGAAUCGGUCAGAGCUUCACUGCCGGUGGCAGCAAAAACUUGCGGGCCUUGCUGCGCCCUGCACAGUGCUCCAUAGGGUGUGAGGCUGGUAUAAAUAGAAAGAGGGGAGUGAGAGCUUUCCAACGAUACCAAGCACGUCCAAAUCCGUCGCUGGAUGGCCGAGUUAUGGCUGGAAGAAGUUUGAGGGUCAAAAUGGAAACGGGAGAGAGAGAGAGAGAGAGAGAGUGGGAACGGGGGGGGGGGUCGGUUNNNNNNNNNNNNNNNNNNNNUAACUUAUCAACAACCAAAAAGUACUAUAAUCUUAUGAACCUUAAAAAUAAAUCAUAUACUUGGAAAACUUGUUUGAUCUUACCGAUGAGCCGUUAGCGAUCAAGCUCAUUUAUUUUAAAACAACCAAAAGAAAUGCAAUAUUUUAAAUUAAAAUCAUCAUAAUCAUCAUCAAAAUCAUUAUCAAAAAUCAAUAAUCAUAAUAAUUAUCAUCAUCAUAAUCAUUAUCAUCAUCAUCAUCCUCAUCAUUAAAUUCAUUAUCAAAAAUCAAUCAUCAAUAAUAAUUAUCAUCAUCAACACAAUAAUUAUCAUAUCAUCAACAAUAAUCAUCCUCAUCAUCAUCAACAUUUUCACCAAUCAUAAUCAUCAUUAUCAACACAAUAACCAUAAAUAAAUAGGUCACAAAGUGAACCUUAGUGAGAUGUUACUCACCUAAAAAUCCCGCUGCGUCUUCACAAAAAAACUCAAGAACCAAGCUCAAAAACAACUCCACAAGCUACCUAAACAACACAAAUACUAACCUUAGUAACCAAACAACUAAAGAGAAUAUUGCACCCUUAACAAACCUUAACCCACGAGAUGACAACUUUCCAAGGUCGUCAUAAUUAACGACUCAAUACAGCUGCCUCUAAUCCUCAAAACCUAAACUCAAACCUCACACAAGCCUAAAAUUAAACUUAAUGUCCUAACAUGCAAACCUUACACCAAACCUAAAAUUUCCACAUCUCAACAAGCUCACAAUAGCAAGAGCUAGCUAACCACCGAAACGUAGAGCUAGGAACCCUGCCGGACGCGUUG
Molecule: long non-coding RNA, 3631 nt
Filed under: Fragaria vesca (wild strawberry)
Lineage: Eukaryota; Viridiplantae; Streptophyta; Magnoliopsida; Rosales; Rosaceae
Description: long non-coding RNA (FVES_LNC000365)
Source: RNAcentral